This 296-nucleotide unclassified non-coding RNA is filed under the name Chytridiomycota sp. RNAcentral's name for it is "partial contains small subunit ribosomal RNA, internal transcribed spacer 1, and 5.8S ribosomal RNA". The stretch from base 1 to 47 matches the Rfam family "Eukaryotic small subunit ribosomal RNA", at positions 1785 to 1831 of the family's 1831-position model. The record is from RNAcentral. Lineage: Eukaryota; Fungi; Chytridiomycota.
AAAGUCGUAACAAGGUAACCGUAGGUGAACCUGCGGUUGGAUCAUUAAAAAAGAUUUGGUCUCGUGCCAAAUUAACAUCUGUGUGCACCAUUGUCUGUCUUUGGCAGUUCGAGUUGCCCUCCCGGAGCUCAACACUCAUUGGGAUCGGCCUACCCCUUUGCCUCGUGCGGGGGGGUUGGACUGCCGCAUUUAUGAAAAACCUUUUGUUUUGUUUUUUUUCUCUGUCUGAACGAAGAGUUAAUCUUUAUUGAUUAAUGAUUUUAAAACAACUUUUGACAACGGAUCUCUUGGCUCUC